CCUACGGGUGGCAGCAGUGAGGAAUAUUGGUCAAUGGGCGAGAGCCUGAACCAGCCAAGUCGCGUGAAGGAUGACGGCCCUACGGGUUGUAAACUUCUUUUGUCAGGGAGUAAUUGGGUCCACGCGUGGGCUUAGCGAGAGUACCUGAAGAAAAAGCAUGGGCUAACUCCGUGCAAGCAGCCGCGGUAAUACGGAGGAUGGGAGCGUUAUCCGGUUUUAUUGGGUUAAAGGGGUGCGAAGGCGGAAUAUCAAGUCAGCGGUAAAGAUUCGGGGCGCAACCCCGUCGUGCCGUUGAAACUGGUGGUCUUGAGUGGGCGAGAGGUAGGCGGAAUGCGUGGUGUAGCGGUGAAAUGCAUAGAUAUCACGCAGAACUCCGAUUGCGAAGGCAGCAUACCGGCGCCCAACUGACGCUGAAGCACGAAAGCGUGGGUAUCGAACAGGAUUAGAUACCCGAGUAGUC
This 460-nucleotide ribosomal RNA is filed under the name uncultured bacterium. RNAcentral describes it as "partial 16S ribosomal RNA". It matches the Rfam family "Bacterial small subunit ribosomal RNA", at positions 338 to 795 of the family's 1533-position model. The record is from RNAcentral.